UCUUACGGGAGGCAGCAGUGGGGAAUUUUGGACAAUGGGGGCAAGCCUGAUCCAGCCAUGCCGCGUGCGGGAAGAAGGCCUUCGGGUUGUAAGGCGCUUUUUCAGGGAAGAAAAGGUGCGCGCUAAUACCGUGCGUUCAUGACGUACCGAGU
This 152-nucleotide ribosomal RNA is filed under the name uncultured bacterium. RNAcentral describes it as "partial 16S ribosomal RNA". It matches the Rfam family "Bacterial small subunit ribosomal RNA", at positions 337 to 485 of the family's 1533-position model. The record is from RNAcentral.